RNAcentral lists this ribosomal RNA (512 nucleotides) under Elsalvadoria zurstrasseni. RNAcentral's name for it is "partial large subunit ribosomal RNA". It matches the Rfam family "Bacterial large subunit ribosomal RNA", at positions 1858 to 2611 of the family's 2925-position model. Lineage: Eukaryota; Metazoa; Arthropoda; Malacostraca; Decapoda; Pseudothelphusidae. The record is from RNAcentral.
CCUGCCCACUGAUAAAUAAUUAGUUUAAUGGCCGCGGUAUUAAUGACCGUGCAAAGGUAGCAUAAUCAUUAGUCUUUUAAUUGGGGACUUGUAUGAAUGGUUGGACAAAAGAAAUACUGUCUUCUUUAAUAAAAAUUGAAUUUAACUUUUAAGUGAAAAGGCUUAAAUGUUUCAAAGGGACGAUAAGACCCUAUAAAGCUUUUAUAGAAAAUAAAAUUUAAAUUGAAGUUUAUAUUAAAAAUUAAGUUUUAUAAUUUUAUUAGGUUGGGGUAACAAAGGUAUAAUUAUAAAUAACUGCUUAAGGUGUAUACAAAUAUAUUUGUAUUAAAGUUAAGUGAUCCUUAUUAAAGAUUUAAAGAUUAAGUUACUUUAGGGAUAACAGCGUUAUUUUUUUUGAGAGUUCUUAUCGAAAAAAAAGUUUGCGACCUCGAUGUUGAAUUAAAAUUUCUAUAUAAUGCAGCUAUUAUAUAAGAAGGUCUGUUCGACCUUUAAAUUUUUACGUGAUCUGAGUU